This 253-nucleotide ribosomal RNA is filed under the name uncultured bacterium. RNAcentral describes it as "partial 16S ribosomal RNA". It matches the Rfam family "Bacterial small subunit ribosomal RNA", at positions 524 to 776 of the family's 1533-position model. The record is from RNAcentral.
UACGAGGACCCCAAGCGUUAUCCGGAAUUACUGGGCGUAAAGCGUGAGCAGCCGGUUUUGCUAGUCUCAUGUCAAAUCUCACUGCUCAACGGUGAGACAGCGUGGGAAACGGCAAAACUAGAGUGGGUAAGAGGUAGACGGAACGUGCAGUGUAGGGGUGAAAUCCAUUGAUAUUGCACGGAACACCAAAAGCGAAAGCAGUCUACUGGGCCGACACUGACACUGAGAGACGAAAGCUAGGGGAGCGAAUGGG